GACGAACGCUGGCGGCGUGCUUAACACAUGCAGGUCGAACGAAGAGCGAUGGAAGCUUGCUUCUAUCAAUCUUAGUGGCGAACGGGUGAGUAACGCGUAAUCAACCUGCCCUUCAGAGGGGGACAACAGUUGGAAACGACUGCUAAUACCGCAUACGAUCUAAUCUCGGCAUCGAGGAUGGAUGAAAGGUGGCCUCUACAUGUAAGCUAUCACUGAAGGAGGGGAUUGCGUCUGAUUAGCUAGUUGGAGGGGUAACGGCCCACCAAGGCGAUGAUCAGUAGCCGGUCUGAGAGGAUGAACGGCCACAUUGGGACUGAGACACGGCCCAGACUCCUACGGGAGGCAGCAGUGGGGAAUCUUCCGCAAUGGACGAAAGUCUGACGGAGCAACGCCGCGUGAGUGAUGACGGCCUUCGGGUUGUAAAGCUCUGUUAAUCGGGACGAAAGGCCUUCUUGCGAAUAGUGAGAAGGAUUGACGGUACCGGAAUAGAAAGCCACGGCUAACUACGUG
RNAcentral lists this ribosomal RNA (510 nucleotides) under uncultured bacterium. RNAcentral's name for it is "partial 16S ribosomal RNA". It matches the Rfam family "Bacterial small subunit ribosomal RNA", at positions 28 to 507 of the family's 1533-position model. The record is from RNAcentral.